GGAGCCUAAGAUCUGCUGACAUUGUUGAGCUCCUGAAUGAAUGCCAGCUACCAAGUUGCAGCAUGACUCAUAUCUUUACUUCCAACUUUCAUUUCUUUCUUCAGGCUUAUAUUACUAAGAGGUCAUGACUAAUCUCACUUAACGAAGUAUUCCUGUCAAAGCUUUUAGCCAUUUGCCUUUGCAGACAGUUUAGACAUUUUACUUGGAGCAGAGAAUAGUUGAUUUUGUGCUAAAAGUCUUCCUAGCAGAGACUCUUCCUGGCUUCAGAUGAUAUCAAUGACCUUAAUGUUCAGCUUGUGGCAUAGAAUUCCAGAACUCUGGAAACAGCAAUGCAACAACAGAAAAUGAUUCGGGAAAGAGCUUCUUUAAGAUCACUUACUUUGAGGGAAGCCAGCUACUAUGUUGUGAAGCCCACAUGGUGAGAAACUGAGGCCUCCUGCCAACAGUCAUUUGAGUCAAGCCUUCAGAUGACUGGUGCCUUGGCCAAAAUCCUGACUGCAACCUCAUGAAGAACUCUGACGACAAAUUGCCCAGUAAAGCUGCUCCCGAAUUCCUGAUCCACAAUUAAUAUGAGA
RNAcentral lists this long non-coding RNA (575 nucleotides) under Homo sapiens (human). Its description in RNAcentral is "HSALNT0102670". The record is from RNAcentral. Lineage: Eukaryota; Metazoa; Chordata; Mammalia; Primates; Hominidae.